RNAcentral lists this ribosomal RNA (253 nucleotides) under uncultured bacterium. RNAcentral's name for it is "partial 16S ribosomal RNA". It matches the Rfam family "Bacterial small subunit ribosomal RNA", at positions 524 to 776 of the family's 1533-position model. The record is from RNAcentral.
UACGUAGGGGGCAAGCGUUGUCCGGAUUUAUUGGGCGUAAAGAGCGUGUAGGCGGCCAUGUAGGUCCGUUGUGAAAACUCGAGGCUCAACCUCGGAACUGCCUUCGAUACUGCGGGUCUCGAGUCCGGGAGAGGUGAGUGGAAUUCCUAGUGUAGAGGUGAAAUUCGUAGAUAUUAGGAAGAACACCAGUGGCGAAGGCGGCUCACUGGCCCGGUACUGACGCUGAGGCGCGAAAGCGUGGGGAGCAAACAGG